RNAcentral lists this ribosomal RNA (530 nucleotides) under Kwoniella mangrovensis. RNAcentral's name for it is "partial large subunit ribosomal RNA". It matches the Rfam family "Eukaryotic large subunit ribosomal RNA", at positions 101 to 615 of the family's 3401-position model. The record is from RNAcentral. Lineage: Eukaryota; Fungi; Basidiomycota; Tremellomycetes; Tremellales; Cryptococcaceae.
GGAAGAGCUCAAAUUUGAAAUCUGGCGUCCUCCGGGCGUCCGAGUUGUAAUCUAUAGAAGCGUUUUCCGCGCCGGACCGUGUAUAAGUCUCCUGGAACGGAGUAUCAAAGAGGGUGACAAUCCCGUGCUUUACACGACGACCGGUGCUAUGUGAUACGUUCUCUACGAGUCGAGUUGUUUGGGAAUGCAGCUCAAAACGGGUGGUAAACUCCAUCUAAAGCUAAAUAUUGGUGGGAGACCGAUAGCGAACAAGUACCGUGAGGGAAAGAUGAAAAGCACUUUGGAAAGAGAGUUAAACAGUAUGUGAAAUUGUUGAAAGGGAAACGAUUGAAGUCAGUCGUGUCCAUUGGGUUCAGCCGGUCCUGCCGGUCUACUCCCUUUGGACGGGUCAACAUCAGUUCUGACCGGCGGAUAAUGGCACGAGGAACGUGGCACCCUCCGGGGUGUGUUAUAGCCUCGCGUCGCAUACGCUGGUCGGGACUGAGGAACGCAGCUCGCCUUCAUGGCCGGGGUACGCCCACGUACGAGCU